UGAGCCAUAGUGAAAUGGUAUCACACUCAGUUGCUGGAGAUUCUGUUAACUGAGAAGUAUUGGUUCGAAUCCAAUUGGCUCAU
This 83-nucleotide transfer RNA is filed under the name Hofstenia miamia. Its description in RNAcentral is "tRNA-Ser for anticodon GCU". It matches the Rfam family "tRNA". Rfam says of the family: Transfer RNA (tRNA) molecules are approximately 80 nucleotides in length. Their secondary structure includes four short double-helical elements and three loops (D, anti-codon, and T loops). The record is from RNAcentral. Lineage: Eukaryota; Metazoa; Xenacoelomorpha; Acoela; Hofsteniidae.